Molecule: ribosomal RNA, 2230 nt
Filed under: Salmonella enterica subsp. enterica serovar Enteritidis str. 543463 42-20
Lineage: Bacteria; Pseudomonadati; Pseudomonadota; Gammaproteobacteria; Enterobacterales; Enterobacteriaceae
Description: bacterial LSU rRNA
Rfam family: Bacterial large subunit ribosomal RNA
Source: RNAcentral
UGCGUACCUUUUGUAUAAUGGGUCAGCGACUUAUAUUCUGUAGCAAGGUUAACCGAAUAGGGGAGCCGGAGGGAAACCGAGUCUUAACCGGGCGUUAAGUUGCAGGGUAUAGACCCGAAACCCGGUGAUCUAGCCAUGGGCAGGUUGAAGGUUGGGUAACACUAACUGGAGGACCGAACCGACUAAUGUUGAAAAAUUAGCGGAUGACCUGUGGCUGGGGGUGAAAGGCCAAUCAAACCGGGAGAUAGCUGGUUCUCCCCGAAAGCUAUUUAGGUAGCGCCUCGUGAAUUCAUCUCCGGGGGUAGAGCACUGUUUCGGCUAGGGGGCCAUCCCGGCUUACCAACCCGAUGCAAACUGCGAAUACCGGAGAAUGUUAUCACGGGAGACACACGGCGGGUGCUAACGUCCGUCGUGAAGAGGGAAACAACCCAGACCGCCAGCUAAGGUCCCAAAGUCAUGGUUAAGUGGGAAACGAUGUGGGAAGGCCCAGACAGCCAGGAUGUUGGCUUAGAAGCAGCCAUCAUUUAAAGAAAGCGUAAUAGCUCACUGGUCGAGUCGGCCUGCGCGGAAGAUGUAACGGGGCUAAACCAUGCACCGAAGCUGCGGCAGCGACACUGUGUGUUGUUGGGUAGGGGAGCGUUCUGUAAGCCUGUGAAGGUGUGUCGUGAGGCAUGCUGGAGGUAUCAGAAGUGCGAAUGCUGACAUAAGUAACGAUAAAGCGGGUGAAAAGCCCGCUCGCCGGAAGACCAAGGGUUCCUGUCCAACGUUAAUCGGGGCAGGGUGAGUCGACCCCUAAGGCGAGGCCGAAAGGCGUAGUCGAUGGGAAACGGGUUAAUAUUCCCGUACUUGGUGUUACUGCGAAGGGGGGACGGAGAAGGCUAUGUUGGCCGGGCGACGGUUGUCCCGGUUUAAGCGUGUAGGUGUGUGUUCCAGGUAAAUCCGGUUCACUUUAACACUGAGGCGUGACGACGAGGCACUACGGUGCUGAAGCAACAAAUGCCCUGCUUCCAGGAAAAGCCUCUAAGCAUCAGGUAACAUCAAAUCGUACCCCAAACCGACACAGGUGGUCAGGUAGAGAAUACCAAGGCGCUUGAGAGAACUCGGGUGAAGGAACUAGGCAAAAUGGUGCCGUAACUUCGGGAGAAGGCACGCUGACACGUAGGUGAAGUGAUUUACUCAUGGAGCUGAAGUCAGUCGAAGAUACCAGCUGGCUGCAACUGUUUAUUAAAAACACAGCACUGUGCAAACACGAAAGUGGACGUAUACGGUGUGACGCCUGCCCGGUGCCGGAAGGUUAAUUGAUGGGGUCAGCGCAAGCGAAGCUCCUGAUCGAAGCCCCGGUAAACGGCGGCCGUAACUAUAACGGUCCUAAGGUAGCGAAAUUCCUUGUCGGGUAAGUUCCGACCUGCACGAAUGGCGUAAUGAUGGCCAGGCUGUCUCCACCCGAGACUCAGUGAAAUUGAACUCGCUGUGAAGAUGCAGUGUACCCGCGGCAAGACGGAAAGACCCCGUGAACCUUUACUAUAGCUUGACACUGAACAUUGAGCCUUGAUGUGUAGGAUAGGUGGGAGGCUUUGAAGUGUGGACGCCAGUCUGCAUGGAGCCGACCUUGAAAUACCACCCUUUAAUGUUUGAUGUUCUAACGUGGACCCGUUACCCGGGUUGCGGACAGUGUCUGGUGGGUAGUUUGACUGGGGCGGUCUCCUCCUAAAGAGUAACGGAGGAGCACGAAGGUUGGCUAAUCCUGGUCGGACAUCAGGAGGUUAGUGCAAUGGCAUAAGCCAGCUUGACUGCGAGCGUGACGGCGCGAGCAGGUGCGAAAGCAGGUCAUAGUGAUCCGGUGGUUCUGAAUGGAAGGGCCAUCGCUCAACGGAUAAAAGGUACUCCGGGGAUAACAGGCUGAUACCGCCCAAGAGUUCAUAUCGACGGCGGUGUUUGGCACCUCGAUGUCGGCUCAUCACAUCCUGGGGCUGAAGUAGGUCCCAAGGGUAUGGCUGUUCGCCAUUUAAAGUGGUACGCGAGCUGGGUUUAGAACGUCGUGAGACAGUUCGGUCCCUAUCUGCCGUGGGCGCUGGAGAACUGAGGGGGGCUGCUCCUAGUACGAGAGGACCGGAGUGGACGCAUCACUGGUGUUCGGGUUGUCAUGCCAAUGGCACUGCCCGGUAGCUAAAUGCGGAAGAGAUAAGUGCUGAAAGCAUCUAAGCACGAAACUUGCCCCGAGAUGAGUUCU